UUAAAUAAAAAAACCUCACGUACAUAUUGUAGAAAUAUGGGAUUUAUCCCCUAAUUGCUCUAUCUUCUUCAUCCUACGGUAAUGGACAAGGGUAAAGGGAAAGAAAAUCCCUAAAUCUCAUACUCUCUCUCAUUUUUUACGUGGCCAAGUGAUUAGAAUCCCUAAUCUUAGAAGAAUAGGGACAAACCCCCAAAUCCUCUCCUCUUCCUCACCUUCGAUGGCCAAGGGAUUUGAAUCCCUAAUCUUCUCCUCCUCUCUUCUUCAUCACGCGGCGAGGAAGCAAAAUCCCCCUCCUUCAUAUCUUCUUUUUCUUCAACGACAGCAAUGGUGAUGAGGUGCAAUGGCAUCGAUUCCUUUUCUUCUCCAUUCGACGAUGAAGGUGAACUCGCCUCCCUAUUCACUUUUUGUUCUUAUUCGAUUAGCUUCGGUAAUGUUAGAUUGCUGUAUGGUUUUUUUCUUUUUGGGUAGGUGAAUAGAAGGAGAACGAGGACGAUGUGGCGAAAUGGUUCGUGGUGGCUCCCGAUUUUGGGGUUCUUAUCUUCACGAUGGUCACCAGAAUAAGAUGAGGACUCAUCUACUCUUCUCGACUAAUUACUCCCGAACGGGAUGGGACCGAUUCAGGUACCCCUAUGUCUCUCCUGCAUGUGGGGUUUCUGGACGAGAUUGUUGUGCUCAGAGGAUUCCUAGGAUCAUCAAACGCGAGGAUUGCGAUAUCAGUGAAGAAGGAUGCCAUUGGAGUCAUAGGUCGUAUGGCUGAGGCAAGGUAAACCAGUAAGAUAUCAUAUCCCUCUCUGUUUGCUUUUAUGUAUCAUUCAAUGCUAAACCAAUGGGUGACAUGCAUAUGAUAAUUAGGAGGUAUAUUAAUUUAUUGAGAACAAGUCGAAAGGAUUGCUUUUGUGGUCAUCAUAUGCUCUCAAUCGACAUGGGUAUGUGUAAUCUUUGCGAAAUGGUUUGUAUAUGUGAGGGCUAGAUUUGGUUGAUAAUUAAUAUAAGUCAUAUUAUCAUGCUUUAAAUGUUGCUUAAGAGUUUGAUGGAUUAAAUUAUAAUGAAACUUCUUUUCUUGAUGUGGUAUACCCAAAAUAUAAAGUGUUGCACUUUUGAGAUUUAAUGCUUCCAAUUUCUAGUUGAAGACAAUUCAUGAUUUUUUAUUAGUGUGGAAGUGGUAUGUUAUAAAGUUAAAUAUUAACUUUUAAUAGUGAAUGUGAUUGAAAUGAAACUCAAGGAGACUCAAAUAUUG
Molecule: long non-coding RNA, 1237 nt
Filed under: Lupinus angustifolius (narrow-leaved blue lupine)
Lineage: Eukaryota; Viridiplantae; Streptophyta; Magnoliopsida; Fabales; Fabaceae
Description: long non-coding RNA (LANG_LNC002132)
Source: RNAcentral